This is a long non-coding RNA of Prunus avium (sweet cherry), 1332 nucleotides long. RefSeq lists it as uncharacterized. The record is from RefSeq and is a predicted model, not a curated record. Lineage: Eukaryota; Viridiplantae; Streptophyta; Magnoliopsida; Rosales; Rosaceae.
UUUCUUCUUCUUUUUCAGAAAACCUCUCCUCUCUCUCUACCCCUUCGUUUUUUCUCUUCUCCCUCCCUCUAAAUCCCUCACAACCCACCCAAAUCUUCACUCAAAUAACACUUUUCUCACUUAAUUUUUCGAGUAGAAUCCAUUUUUGGCAUCUAUUCCUUGAAAUUUCAAGUGUUUUGAUCAAUUUUAUAAGAUUUGCAGUUAGGGUUCCAACUCCACCAAGAUGUCUAGAGCUACAAAUGGUACAAAUAAGGGUGCAUCUUCCUCACGAAGUGCACCUCAAUCGGAAGAGUCGCUUUUAACUGCAUCUGUGGUUACCGAGCGUAAUCUAGACCUCAAUCCCUCAAUUCAAUUCACUGGACUUAUCCAAGUCCAACACCUACUUAGGAAUAGAAACCUCUUACCUUUAGCUCGUAUCUAUGGAAAAUACAAUGAGUCUAUAGUGCAAGAAUUUUAUGCUGCUUUCCCUAGGGUGGAGCCUAGAGACAACCAAACUGUGCCCAUUAAGGUUCGGGGAAAAAAUGUUGACAUUUCCCCCUUCAUUAUCUCUUAUGUUCUUAACUUGCCUGAAGGGGAUACUGAUGAAUGGAAUCGCUAUUUGGGUAGAGAUUUUAAUUUGCAAGAUGCAGCUGAAAGGCUUUUCUAUGCUGACCCUACUGCCUUUGCUUCCUAAACCAAAAAGACUGUCCUCAUUCAGGGUAAGUUGACACCCCACUUUGCCAUUAUGUGGAGCUUUGUGUGCCACAACAUCUACCCAUCCGGCCAACAGUCGAAAAUUCCCACUGUAGGGGUCAAGAUUCUAAAAUUUUUGCAUGAGGGAACUUUUUCCCUACCCAUAGAGGACAUUAUUUUUGAACGUUUAAAGGCUUGUGCACGUAAGAAAAGUAUUAUUUAUUAUCCUUGCAUUGUCAGCAUGAUUUGCACACUCCGGUGUUCGGGCUCGUCUCAAUGAUAUAAUUGUUAAGCCCAUGGGUCCUAUUUCGGAGACUUCUGUGUCCAACAGUAUCUCUCAGCGGCGUGAUGCUACCAGAUCAGCUCCAGUGCCACCCUCUAUGCCUUCACCGCAGCCGCCCAUGCCGACAUCAUCCCAGCUGUUCCCACCUGCUCCCAGUGUCGACACUUCUGCUUGGGACCCCAGUCUUCAAAUGCUGCAAUACCAGCAGAUGUAGCGGAUGAGCACCUCCAUCGAUGCUAUUUGGACUCACCUCCAGAUGUCAAAUCAGCCUGAGAGCGCAGCAGAUGAUGAUCAUGAUCAUGAUCAUGAUGAUGAGUAGACUUUGAAAGUGUUGUUGCUAGUGAGCUUUUGUUUAUUGUAGUUUUAUUUUUGAGAGU